CUUAUCCAACAAGCUGUCACCUUCAGUGUACUAAUCUUAAUGCAACAGCUGUUUUAUUUGCUCUACUGUGUAAUGAAUACCUUUUUUUUUUUUUUUUUCUGUGCUCCCUCUACGGUGUUACGAUGUUAGAAACUGUGAGGAUAGCAGUCUUGCUAUGUACACAAAAGCAUGUGUUAAUUGUUUCUAGGUGUGUUCUCUUAAAAAAAAAAAAAAAAAAAUAGAAUAAGGCUAUGUAAGUGUUUUGUUUCCAUCUGUUAUCUGUCAUUGGUUUUCAUGUUUUGUAUGACCAUGGUGUCUUUUGAUACAGGGAUAUUCCUGCACUGAGCUUUGAGUCUGCUUGUUAUGAGCGGUAAUUGCCUCUACUUUAUUUGGUGUUAUAUAUAUAUAUAUAUAUAUAAUGAUGAUCUUAUAGGACCAAAACAGAAAUAAAACAGCCUAAAUGAGUAGCUAAUGCAGUAUGUAUGCCUUUUCCAUAAAAUGUCUUCCCUACAUACAAAUGCCAAUGUUCAGGCCCCAUAAAGUGUCAACAAUGAACUGAAAUGCGUUCUUUUUAAAGCUAAUUCACCAAACCUAAACUAAGAAUACUUUGGUGUUCAGCAACUUUUAGGCUGGAAUCCAAACUUGAGAUCUGUGCGCCAAAACUUGACACGUACAGAUCGAAAGUUAGAAUUCGGCCCUCACGUGCUAGAUUUAGUUCAAACCAAAGGAGCAGAAGAAGACAACAUUUUGUGUGCUGUUUCACUGACGCUGAUGUUUGUGCUGUUUUUCCCCACAAUGAUGUUUCCUGUGGUGGCUGAGAGCGAGACAAGAGUCCAGCACUUCCUUCUCCAGGCCGGGCUCCCCUUUCAGAGAGACAAGACCUCCACAAGGCCACUUAUCAAGGUCAUUUCUGAUGGCAUGUGUAGAUACUAAAAGCCGUAAAGCUAUAGAAAUAAAUAGUCGCAAACUCGUAUAACUCCCAGCGACUCUAUUUAGUUGUAUAGCUUCCAGUUAAUUUGCCGAUAGUCAGCACCUCUACACUAAUGUUCCCUGGGGAUGCUCCAACUUGUUAUUAGAUACUAGAAGCCAAACAACACUGGGGGUGAUGUAAAAUACAAUAUGGCGAAUUCAUUUUGCUUACUGUUUUCCGGGAAGGCAUUUGUCAUAGACGCUCACCCACACUCGACCAUUAAAAAGUUGUGGUUCCAAAUGUUUCCUCUGUUAAGGAUUUAUCGUUCUAUUCGUCUACACAUGACAGACACUUUUUGGUUAACAAAGUGUCAUUACAAGCUGCACAUGUACCUGAGUGUGUUUUGGUUACGCAUAUGGCUCUAAACUGGUUCCAGAUUGCCACAAGGCGUCAGGUAGCUUGACUUGUAACUGUCAAAGUUGAACCACCAGGCGUCCGGUAGCUUGACUUGUAACUGUCAAAGUUGAACCACCAGGCGUCCGGUAGCUUGACUUGUAACUGUCAAAGUUGAACCACCAGGCGUCAGGUAGCUUGACUUGUAACUGUCAAAGUUGAACCAAGAUACUUGUUCAUUUGUUCUCUAUAUGUUCUAGGUGCCGCCCUUUUAGAGAAGAGUCUCGCAAGGAACCUCCUCUGGACAAAGGGUAAGUCAGAACUUCUCUUCCCUGCCUUGGUUCCUUCAGUCUCCUCUUUCUGCUUUGGUGCCCAUGUAAGACUGGAGACCAGGGAAGAUGUUCAACGAAUGAGCCCCUGUGGAUAUUUCUCAAAUAGAAAAUGUAAUGUUAUGUAACACAUUUGUCUACAUCCUUCACUUUAUUCAAUGUAAUCUUGUACACUACUGUUUCCUUAUGAUAUAACAUCAAUGUGCAUGCUUUGUCCUUAAUUGAGAACAUAACGUGUUCAUUUUUCAUUUGGCGUAUUAAUAUAAUAAACAUAGGCACAGACUAUCUGAAGAUUUUGAGUUUCUUUGGUAACCGUUUACUUGGACGCUGCCAUAGCCUACAUUAAUCGCGUUGCCAUAAUGACAAGAUGUCACAAAAACAAUCAUGACUUAGCCUGUCUGCUUAAUGACAACUGACUUAAAACAAACAUGACUCAACCAUGGUUUGAAUUUAAGGGGUGCUAGAAUAUGAACUUAAACAGUCAGUGAGGACACCCCAAAGAGUUUGUAUAAUUUGAACCCUGAACAGAGUGUUAUUUAGGCAUGCUAACUCCCACGAGUCAACUAGCUUCCAGUACCUACGUAGAUAACAUUGCCUGAACUUUGACAUGUUAUAUCGUCAUGACACCAAAGGGUUCAGGUAAGGUCAAACGAGAUAUGUUGUACAUUCAUUGACUGGUACACUAGUUCACUUUUAGCUGUCAUGUUCUACUUUGAGAACAUUGUGCAGCGAUCAGGAACACCCUGUCAAAGGAAAAGGCUUUCCGAAUGCACAGUCUGUGUAAUCCCCAAUUUGUUAAGCUUUUCUCAAGUCCCUUGCUUUAGUUCUCUUUGCAGAGCUUGGUGGUGACACUCUGUGGGAGGUCAAUGUACCUUUCUUGCUAGCUUUGGCUUUUCUGAUUUUGGUGCAACCUGUAGGUUUUGGUGUUGAUCCCUCACCCCAAGACUGGACCUGGACAAGGGUCUCUGUCCUGUUUAGUUUGGCUGAGCUGGAACAGGGCCUCUUAAAGACUGUAUGUGGCCUUGCACCCACCCUGAUGCAAUUCUGUUUGUAAGGAGCACAAGUCGGCCUAGUGCGUGAGUCUCGAGACCGGCUCAGUUCCGUAACACUGGACACAACUGAAUCUGCUUUCCUCAAGCGAGAAGUGCUCCUGGUCAAGCUGAUGGCCGUAGCCGGCCGACACCGUCCCGUUUUGGUCAGCUCUCGCUGUACUGUGGCCGCCUGCAGAUCCUCCAUCUCAGAUAGUCUGCUUACGAUGGCAACCAAUGAAGGCUCUCGCAUGUGCAGGCUCUGGCGACUUUCCCAAUCGGCCGUGCUAGGCAGACUCCGGGUCAGAUCCAGCACUUUCAGAGAUGCUGGGAGCACCUCCGCAAAUGGUGACUGGGCCUCCGAAGACUCCGAGAAGUGCAAGUCGGAGUCCAGGUCUAAGUCGAAAGGUUCAGGCCUCAACCGGAGCUCUACUUCGGGCGUGACCCACUCGUGGGCCUGGGCGCCCCCUUUCUCUUGGUCGGAUAGAUCGCUGGCGUCAGAGUGGAUGUCUGCCGGUGUGCUGCUACCGUUUUGCUUUGACCCAUCGGUGAUGGUUCCUGACCCAAGCCCUGCUCUGUCAUUCAUUGGGCCCCAACAGUAGAAUGUCUUUACCCUCCUCUCCCCAUUGUACCUUCUCCUGUCCCUCGAAUUGAUAGUGUAAGCCGCCUGGACAGGUGUGAUUUUCAACAGAGACUCACUGGAGCUUGUGUCCCGGCCCUCCCCUUGGUUAUGUUUGGUGAAACUCGGGUGCCGUAGCCUGCUGUUGAGAUGAUGGAUGUUGAUUGUUGGACGUCUGUGGAUCAUCCUGAACUGGGCUCUCUGUGAUUGGCUCUGGCUAAAGAUAAGAGGGAAUAAAAAUAAGUAGUAUGGCGAUCUUAAUAAAUAAUGUCAUAAAACACGUAUUUUAAUUUCAAACUCCAUAAACCUGAAAGGUGUUUUCAUUUACACCUUUGGUAAUACUGACAACCACGUGGUGUUUUUAAAGUAGUUUAUCGAAGCAAAACGGAUACCUAAAAUCUGUCCUAGUGGAUUGACUAUAGCCAAG
Molecule: long non-coding RNA, 3685 nt
Organism: Oncorhynchus tshawytscha (Chinook salmon)
Lineage: Eukaryota; Metazoa; Chordata; Actinopteri; Salmoniformes; Salmonidae
Source: Ensembl